AUGAAGUCGGAAUUGCUAGUAAUCGCAGAUCAGCAUGCUGCGGUGAAUACGUUCCCGGGCCUUGUACACACCGCCCGUCACACCAUGAGAGUCUGUAACACCCAAAGCCGGUGGGAUAACCUUUAUAGGAGUCAGCCGUCUAAGGUAGGACAGAUGAUUAGGGUGAAGUCGUAACAAGGUACC
This 183-nucleotide ribosomal RNA is filed under the name uncultured bacterium. Its description in RNAcentral is "partial 16S ribosomal RNA". It matches the Rfam family "Bacterial small subunit ribosomal RNA", at positions 1320 to 1500 of the family's 1533-position model. The record is from RNAcentral.